Molecule: ribosomal RNA, 476 nt
Filed under: Mycobacterium nonchromogenicum
Lineage: Bacteria; Bacillati; Actinomycetota; Actinomycetes; Mycobacteriales; Mycobacteriaceae
Description: Mycolicibacter nonchromogenicus bacterial SSU rRNA
Rfam family: Bacterial small subunit ribosomal RNA
Source: RNAcentral
GGACGAACGCUGGCGGCGUGCUUAACACAUGCAAGUCGAACGGAAAGGCCCUUUCGGGGGUACUCGAGUGGCGAACGGGUGAGUAACACGUGGGUGAUCUGCCCUGCACUUUGGGAUAAGCCUGGGAAACUGGGUCUAAUACCGAAUAGGACCACGCGCUUCAUGGUGUGUGGUGGAAAGCUUUUGCGGUGUGGGAUGGGCCCGCGGCCUAUCAGCUUGUUGGUGGGGUAAUGGCCUACCAAGGCGACGACGGGUAGCCGGCCUGAGAGGGUGUCCGGCCACACUGGGACUGAGAUACGGCCCAGACUCCUACGGGAGGCAGCAGUGGGGAAUAUUGCACAAUGGGCGCAAGCCUGAUGCAGCGACGCCGCGUGGGGGAUGACGGCCUUCGGGUUGUAAACCUCUUUCAGUAUCGGCGAAGCUCCAAGGUUUUCUUUGGGGUGACGGUAGGUACAGAARAAGCACCGGCCAACUAC